UUGUGUAUAAAAUGGACCAGGUGUG
Molecule: non-coding RNA, 25 nt
Filed under: Mus musculus (house mouse)
Lineage: Eukaryota; Metazoa; Chordata; Mammalia; Rodentia; Muridae
Source: RNAcentral